This 473-nucleotide ribosomal RNA is filed under the name uncultured bacterium. Its description in RNAcentral is "bacterial SSU rRNA". It matches the Rfam family "Bacterial small subunit ribosomal RNA", at positions 915 to 1391 of the family's 1533-position model. The record is from RNAcentral.
GGGGGCCCGCAAGCGGUGGAGCAUGUGGUUUAAUUCGAAGCUACGCGAAGAACCUUACCAGGUCUUGACAUCUUGCGCCAACCCUAGAGAUAGGGCGUUUCCUUCGGGAACGCAAUGACAGGUGGUGCAUGGUCGUCGUCAGCUCGUGUCGUGAGAUGUUGGGUUAAGUCCCGCAACGAGCGCAACCCUUGUUACUAGUUGCCAGCAUUUAGUUGGGCACUCUAGUGAGACUGCCGGUGACAAACCGGAGGAAGGUGGGGACGACGUCAGAUCAUCAUGCCCCUUAUGACCUGGGCUACACACGUGCUACAAUGGACGGUACAACGAGUCGCGAACUCGCGAGGGCAAGCUAAUCUCUUAAAACCGUUCUCAGUUCGGACUGCAGGCUGCAACUCGCCUGCACGAAGUCGGAAUCGCUAGUAAUCGCGGAUCAGCAUGCCGCGGUGAAUACGUUCCCGGGCCUUGUACACACC